Cyanistes caeruleus (blue tit) is the source of this 603-nucleotide non-coding RNA. NCBI's taxonomy places the organism in Eukaryota, Metazoa, Chordata, Aves, Passeriformes, Paridae. The record is from RefSeq and is a predicted model, not a curated record.
UGGAGUUACAGCGGGACAUCAACAGCGGCUGCCUGUCCCAGCUGCGGUGUCUGGCACUGAGUGACCCGCGUUACUCAUUAUUUCAGCGGCUUCUCCUUUAAAGCAAUCUGGUUGGGCUUCGAAGGAGCUUUUCUCCAUCACUGUUCCUUGUGCAGCUGCGUUGAAGGGCUCAUAUUUAUAGUUUGAAACAAGAUCCUACUUCCUAAAAUCUAAAAGUCUCAUGUGGAGGUGGAUGUUCUGAUUCAAGGUCAGCCUUGAACAUGACCUGUGCAAUGAGUCUCUGCAGUUCCAUCUCUACUGACAAACCUGCAGGACAGAGUAAUAAUUUGACAUCUUGUUGGUAAUCUCUAAGUAUCUCAGUCGGAGCUCUGGCUUAGAGACAGCUUCUGGUGAAGUCAUGUCAGUCAGUGGUAAGUACCAUUGACCUUAUUACUCUCUGAGUCCCUUAGCAAGCAAGAUUUCAUAUUAAAGAACCAAAAUAAUCGAAGCAGUAUGCUCUUGCUUUUAUAACUUUGUCUUUUUCAUUUUCUUAGUUCAGUUCUUGUACUUUUUUGGUUUAAUUUGGUGUUGGGUGUUGUCUCAAUUAUCUCGUUUUGGGGUUGA